Hylaeus anthracinus is the source of this 3385-nucleotide long non-coding RNA. RefSeq lists it as uncharacterized. The record is from RefSeq and is a predicted model, not a curated record. The transcript is spliced from 5 exons. Lineage: Eukaryota; Metazoa; Arthropoda; Insecta; Hymenoptera; Colletidae.
GAUACACCCCAAAAUUAAAAAGCCUACAAAGAAAUUCCCAGUAAAUAAAGAAUUCUUUGACGAAAAGAAAUUUUCGAGCCACAAAAAAUGCACAAAGUUCAGCACUUUCGCUAGUUCCAAGUGUAUGCAGACCCUCACGAUAUCAAGGACGACGAUAAGAGUUUCUCUGUAAGGUCGAACAAGUCUUCGACCACGACUUCCGGUCAUCGCCUGCGAAGUCUGACGUUUACGGCUUCUUGCUGGCCGAGAUCUCGGUAGUGAUACGAUUCGCAAGUGGGUCGUCAUUGGAUCGAAUAAGGUAUCCUCCCAGGUGAGUAGCGCGCGAUGCGGUUAAAGUUUAUCUAGCAUCCUAACGCGUUAGUGUAAAUUAACCGUCCUGGAAAAAGGCAUCGCGAAAACUAUUGUUCAUCCGUCGUAAAUCAAUACUCGAUCCUCUCAGACCUUCCAGCGGCCUAUAUCGGCGCCGUUAACUGACAUUAUAACGAUGGCGAGCUCGCGUGCAGAUAAAAUCGCGACAAUUAGCAUACGUGAGGUCAGUCGAUAGAUUCAAUGAGAAAGAGGUACGACGGAACGUCACACCUGCAAUGUCUUGCACUCGUUGUGACGAACUGCACCAAAAAUGUUCGAAAGCCUGGCAAUCUAUUUGCCAACGAACCGUCAACCGUCCACGUGAACUAUCUUGUUGACUAACUCCAUCCCUGGGACAUAGAACUGGAUCUUUAAAGAAUUCAAGAUGAAACCAGACAUUUACUAUGCGAAGGAUCAUGUAAAGCACAUCGUAAAGAUUGUAAUAUUCAAGAACAUUCUUGUCAUAAAAUUGAUUCGAGUAAAACGAGCAAAGACAAAUAAUAAUAAUAAUACUGUAGGAGGUAUCGGCAUGCGUUUUGUUUAUCCGUCAUAAACUCUCCAAGGUACUACUCGAUACAUCUGCAAGAUAAGGCAAACGAUAGCGCUACGUUAUACAAAAUUCAUAAGUGUGAUUUAUUGCAUGUGCAGCGUAUUGCAUUCUCCCGUCGAUAUCUAUAAAUAUAUUACAGAAAAAUCUGACUCGUUUAUAUUGUUCCACCAAUUAUAUUUUCAUUAAUUACACGUUUCUAAAUCUUAUUCAUUCUUUUUAAUGAUAUUAAUUCAUUCUGAUUACUUGAUUUAUUAUUUAUUAAGUCUUUAAUUCUAGAUUUUUAUUCCAGUUAUUUUAUCUUCUUUUUCCAUAGGAGUGUUGUUUCCUUUUGUUCAAAGAUUUACGAAUUUAUAUUUUUGGACAGAGGCUUGCCAAGGUUGGGUCGAAAGUUAUACGAGCUAACGCAUAUAUGCUCUAAAUUGAGAACCGAAGAGGAUUAGGGUGUGUUUAAGGCGAGGCGGCUGGUUUUCAUUAAAUCGACUCCUUAAUGCUUGACACGAGCAGUUCCGAUGCUCUCAGGAAUCAAUGCAAUCAUUAUGAUCCAUCUUCGUACAAUUACCAGACCUCGGAGAUGGGUAUAAUUUUAUACGAAUAAUAAAUAACAAGUAACGCCAAUGCAUAGCAAUUUGUUCAUGUAUUCACUCGAACAAUUUCUUGAAGUAACUUCGUGCUAUAAAUCUCAAUAAGUAUUUCAUCGCUAUCUGCACUUGUCGAAUUCUAAUUUCAAGUUAUAUUGCGAAGCACCUUGAAUGCCAAUUAUUCUUGUACCAUUCCAUAUACGUGUCCUUAUGUUGUAAUUCAAAAUUCAAAACUUUUUUAAUAAUUAUUAUGUCCAUAAGAAAAUGAAUCUACAAAAGUAAAUUUCCAAUUACAGUAAUUGCUUUAAUGCUCAAGUAACUACAUUUAUUAAAUAUCUAGUUAUGCAUUGUGAAAUAUUUUAUUUUAUUGUUCAAAUUCAAAAUUUUACCGAACGUACUGGACGAAGCAACGUAUUUCUUUAAAGUUUUCUUUAUUAAUUAUUUAAAAUUUCCACUUAAAUACGAAUUUUUGUAACGUCUGAUAGAACGUACGUUUGAUCAAACUUGAAAUUUUUACAGAAAAACGUCCACCGCCGUCUCGUCCGCGCGUUUCAGGGCAAUGUGGUUCAUCGACAUUGAAGAACAAUUAGAUUUCCGCGAAAAAGACGUCCCUACUGGGACGAAGAUAAUUGCUGGUAAUGACCUGCGUGUACACGAUGAAGACGACUGGCUGGGUGAAAUGUAGAACGCAAUAUCACACACGCAAAGAAAUACAUUCUUAUCAAAAGCAUUCUUGUCUCGCAGAAAAACAGAGUUGACAGUGGAGUGCUCGCGAAAGGAGUGGUAAUGAUGAUGAUGAUCCUGUUAUACUAUUUCCGAGAAUGUCCAUACGUGGGCUUUGGUUCACACGCACGCGCACGCAUACAAAUCACUCAAGCUUUCAUAACAUAACGCAGCAAGUUGAUCUCAUUGAGGAUGUUGAUAAACGAAUUAAAUUACUCUCGUACAGAGAAUCGACGGAGGCGUACACUGUAACGUUUUGAAAUGCAAAUUGGCAAUUCGAUCAAUCCGUAACACAAAACGAUUCAUCCUGUAUGAUCAUUUUUAUAUCUGCUUGUGAUUAAACAGCAGACUGACUCACGAGAGAGAAAUAGGUGUUCUCUAAGAAUUUUUACAAGAAAAGUACAAGACCCAGACCUCUUGAAAUAUGGACCACGAAAAAUCGAUUUGUGGCUCUUAACGGUUUCUUUACUUCCUAUGGACGUUAUGCAAGAAUACGUUCUAGCUCGGCAUUGUCUGCAUAGCAGAAUAUACGGUCUAUGCACGCUUCCUUGUAAACCGUUAAAUUUGCAGCCAAUGAUUCUGCACGUUCGAUUGAACGCCAAGAGAGAAUGCUGCACAAAUAUGGGGGUAAAGACAGCAACUUGUCAAUGUAAUAGGAACGCAGUGAGAAGGCAGGAAAAGAUUGAUGCGUACGAAUCGUACGCGGAGAAUUGUUAAAUGAAAUGCAAUCGACUCGCGUUUGAUUUAGUCGCGUCAAUCAAGUUAAUUUAUUUAAGAUCUCAAUCACCUUUAUGUGGUUCUCUUCAAAAGACACAAACUGCGAUAUAAUUAAAUAAAAAUUACGUAAUUAUUUGAUAUAAUUACACCUUUGACAAGCUAUAUUAUAUAUUAUAUAGUCUAACUUAUCAAUACAACAAAUCUGUCGUACAUAUUUUUCUAUAUCAAUUUAGUUCUGUUUUUCAAUAUAUACUCUUCUCGAAAUAUUAGCUUAUACAUUAUUCAUAUAAUAAAGCUUGGCAUAGCAAUAAUUACGUAAAACACAUUUUUACAAACAAGCUAACAAAGUAAUUGAUUUUUGUUUACACUAAGAAAUAAAAUAAAGUAUUAUAAAUAUUGUUUGUUGCUUCAAAUAGUUGAGUUGUGAAUUAAAGUUAUAUUAUAAAUAAAUCUUUCGUUCCUAAGUAUA